UUUCUUCUUCUUCAGUGCGUGAUUUGCACCUCUUCUCUUUGUCAUCCAGAACUUAUAGCUGAAUAAUAGAAUGGCUCUCAGCCGCAUGAAUGCUUCGGUGUCCCCGAAAGAAUGGCGAAUGGCUCCAACAGAUGGAAAGAGCGAGAGGGGGAUGGAAAAAGAGUGCGAGAGAGCAUGAAAGCAAGUGUGGAGCGCCAUACACAGUGACACCUUCAUAAAAAUUUUAACGUUCUGUCCAAUUGAGGACAUCUUUUUCUUUGACUUUUUCAAGAAAACAGAGCAAAAUGCGGACAUAGGAGCCAAUUUGCUGUAAUUCAUGGUCAGUGGCAUCUCGGGUCUCAUGAUCUUCAAUGGGAAACUCUAUCUGGAGUGCAGGUUCUGUCUGAGAUGCUGUUCCUCACGAGUCUCUGCGGUCAUCAUUGUGCCAUCAG
This is a long non-coding RNA of Megalobrama amblycephala (Wuchang bream), 431 nucleotides long. RefSeq lists it as uncharacterized. The transcript is spliced from 3 exons. NCBI's taxonomy places the organism in Eukaryota, Metazoa, Chordata, Actinopteri, Cypriniformes, Xenocyprididae. The record is from RefSeq and is a predicted model, not a curated record.